Molecule: transfer RNA, 67 nt
Filed under: Asiagomphus septimus
Lineage: Eukaryota; Metazoa; Arthropoda; Insecta; Odonata; Aeshnidae
Description: tRNA-Phe
Source: RNAcentral
ACUUGAGUAGCUUAAAUUUUAAAAGUUUGACAUUGAAGCUGUCAGGAUGGUGUUAUACCCUUAGGUA